Non-coding RNA from Helianthus annuus (common sunflower), 159 nucleotides. The record is from Rfam. NCBI's taxonomy places the organism in Eukaryota, Viridiplantae, Streptophyta, Magnoliopsida, Asterales, Asteraceae.
AUGGAUUCCUCACGGGUCAAUGGGCGAUCAAGAAGGUCCAUGGCCUAGGUUGGUGACUUCCGUUGCACUUUGGAAGGGUGCCCGCCUAAGGUCGGCCCAAGCGGUCGAGCCUACAUCAUAAUUUGUGGUAGUGGGGGCUUGCAUACACGCGGCCCCUUC